UCCUACGGGAGGCAGCAGUGGGGAAUAUUGCACAAUGGGCGAAAGCCUGAUGCAGCGACGCCGCGUGAGCGAGGAAGUGCUUAGGCAUGUAAAGCUCUAUCAGCAGGGAAGAAAAAUGACGGUACCUGACUAAGAAGCCCCGGCUAAAUACGUGCCAGCAGCCGCGGUAAUACGUAUGGGGCGAGCGUUAUCCGGAUUCACUGGGUGUAAAGGGGGCGCAGGCGGUUAUGCAAGUCCGGUGUGAAAACCCGCGGCUCAGCUGCGGGACUGCACUGGAAACUGUAAAACUAGAGUGUCGGAGGGGCUGGCGGAAUUCCUGGUGUAGCGGUGAAAUGCAUAGAUAUCAGGAGGAACACCGGUGGCGAAGGCGGCCAGCUGGACGAAUACUGACGCUGAGACCCGAAAGCGUGGGGAGCAAACAGGAUUAGAUACCCUGGUAGUCC
Molecule: ribosomal RNA, 443 nt
Filed under: uncultured bacterium
Lineage: Bacteria
Description: bacterial SSU rRNA
Rfam family: Bacterial small subunit ribosomal RNA
Source: RNAcentral